CCCUACGGGGGGCAGCAGUGGGGGAUAUUGCACAAUGGAGGAAACUCUGAUGCAGCGACGCCGCGUGAGGGAAGACGGUCUUCGGAUUGUAAACCUCUGUCUUUGGGGAAGAAAAUGACGGUACCCAAAGAGGAAGCUCCGGCUAACUACGUGCCAGCAGCCGCGGUAAUACGUAGGGAGCGAGCGUUGUCCGGAAUUACUGGGUGUAAAGGGAGCGUAGGCGGGCGAGUAAGUUGAAUGUUAAAUCUACCGGCUUGACUGGUAGCUUCGUUCAAAACUUUUUGUCUUGAGUGACGUAGAGGCAG
RNAcentral lists this ribosomal RNA (305 nucleotides) under uncultured bacterium. RNAcentral's name for it is "bacterial SSU rRNA". It matches the Rfam family "Bacterial small subunit ribosomal RNA", at positions 337 to 660 of the family's 1533-position model. The record is from RNAcentral.